UACGAAGGGGGCUAGCGUUGUUCGGAAUUACUGGGCGUAAAGCGAACGUAGGCGGUGUUCCAUGUCAGAGGUGAAAGCCUGGGGCCCAACCCCAGAAUUGCCUUUGAAACGGGAACGCUUGAGUCCGAGAGAGGGUGGCGGAAUUCCUAGUGUAGAGGUGAAAUUCGUAGAUAUUAGGAAGAACACCAGUGGCGAAGGCGGCCACCUGGCUCGGUACUGACGCUCAGGUUCGAAAGCGUGGGGAGCAAACAGG
This 253-nucleotide ribosomal RNA is filed under the name uncultured bacterium. RNAcentral describes it as "partial 16S ribosomal RNA". It matches the Rfam family "Bacterial small subunit ribosomal RNA", at positions 524 to 776 of the family's 1533-position model. The record is from RNAcentral.